Macaca mulatta (Rhesus monkey) is the source of this 963-nucleotide non-coding RNA. NCBI's taxonomy places the organism in Eukaryota, Metazoa, Chordata, Mammalia, Primates, Cercopithecidae. The record is from RefSeq and is a predicted model, not a curated record.
GAAUCAUUUUUUAAAGCACCCUGACCCUUUAAUGAAAAGAGCCAGUAAGAUAGCAUCUGAAAAAAGAAAGACAGAUUUUAGGAACAAAGGAUUUUUUUCCUUGUGCUUUGUUUUCCCAGUCUUGAAUUAAUCACAGCUGUCUUUCCCCAGCAAAGGUUAUUUUUAUCUAGCAUGCUUUAAAUUAAAAAACAACAACAACAAAGGGAGCAAUCUGAUGUUCUUCAAGCUCCCAGAGCCCUUCCACAGAAAAAGAAGCAUUCACUCUGUGCAGCUAAGAAUCCAGCUUUUAAUUCUAUCUUUUCUUGUGUUUACAUAAACUUUCGUUUGCAUUUCAGAAGCCUUAUGGAAAGAUUCCUGUGGCUGACCCGGGAGUAGUGGUGAAUUUCUCCAUCAAUGAUUGAUCUAUACCAAGGACUAAAGAAGGCUUCACCAGUUCAAGGAAAUAUCACUGUUCCCCAGGCAAGGUGUAUGGAUUCUGUUCAGAGGUCAUCUGAUUGCAGCAAAUAAUCAGUAGCAAAUAACCAGGAAAGGGUCUGGUGGAUGGAGCAUAUUUUCAGUUGAUUUUCUUUUAAGGAUUUUGAGAGAGAAAAAAAGUUAACUUCCGCGUAUACAUGUGCUCAGUCAGCUAUCCUGAGACAGAAGCCGGGAAUAGACAUAAAAGCAAGAUAAAAUAAUGGUACUUGAGGCUGCUAUUCUCACUUAGUACUCAUCUCAGUUUUCUAAAGACCCAUCUAAAGAUGUUCAUCUUUAAUUCAUCUGAGAAAAGGAGCAAGAAUACUUCAUGACCAUAAGAAAUGGACUCUCACUCAAAAUGCUGGUCACUGCACAGAAGCAAAGAUUGGAGUCAUUUUCAGAGAAGUAAGAAUUUCAAAGUGUCCUAAAUAUGUGAGCAGAGUGAAAUGAACUUUUUUAUGAGAAAGAUAUUAAUUGCUAAAUGAAAAUAAAGAAAGAACUAUAACAAAA